AUGUGCCAGUUCAUCGUGAUGCUGCUCACCACAGUUAUCCUGCUCUGUGCUGUUGGAAGUGGAAGGUCUGAGAGUCCUAUUACAUCAGACCAAACUGAGGUUGUUGACGAGGAGGGUGCCAAUUUAACUUUAUCCUGUAGCUACUCAGCUGCAAUUAGUUUGCAUUGGUACCGUAAAUAUCCCAAAUCAGCUCCUGAAUAUAUUUUAUUAAUUCUGCAAACCUCUGGACGGGUCCAGAAAGCAGCGAAACUGGAUUCUCAGUUUUCAGCGAGACUGAAUGAAAAGAAAAACCGUGUGGAGCUGAUCGUCUCCUCUGUCAAAGUGACAGAUUCUGCUCUGUACUACUGUGCUCUGGAGACCACAGUGACAGGAAACCUAUCCACACUGUACAAAAACAUACAUAUACACAGUUAUUUAAAAAAAAUACUCAUAUAGUCCUCAUUCAAAAAGUUAAGAUAUUGUAACAGCUAAACAGUGUAACAGCCCUAAUACUGUACAUAAGAAAAAUAUGUCCUUAUGAAAAAAGUAAAUUAUCGUGGUCUAUCUUUUGAGUAAUCUGCCAUCUAGUGGUCCUUUAGGCUCAGUACAUUGGCUGAAUUAUUUGUGAAAUACAUGUCUUUUGUGGCUUUAUGAUAUCAAAUCAAGCAGUGAAAAUUAUCUACUUAAGUUAUCUACUCAAAUGUAGUGAUUUUUUAAAGACAGGGAACAUAAGUAUAUGAGUUUCUUUCUGUCUAUUAUUUUUGCAUGUAUAUUUAUUUCCAUUUAUCACUUUGGUUGAAGCCAACCAAAUAUUAUUUAUACAAUAAUAGUAAUAAUAUAGUUGUGAUAUGCACAAAAGACAAGAGCAAAUGAAUACAUUCCUGUCAAAUUAAUGUUAAAUGCAAACCAGUUCAUUAAAGAUGAACACUAUGAAUAUAUCAAAGUUGAUCAAAGAACUUAAUAACUUAAUAAAAUGCCAGUAGAUUAUGACAUGACAUGGCAGUCUGAUUGACAGUCGACAAAAAUUCAGAAAGUUUGACAGCGAUACAGCAUGUCAACAUGUGUUUCUCCUGGGUUUGAGUCCGUGGAGCUCUACUCCAGCGGUUACGUGUCAGCAGAUGCUCAGCUGAUGUUGAGUGACUCUCCACAGACAGCUGGAGGAAAAAAAAACAACAAGAAGCUUCUCCUGCAGCAGCCGCUAUGAAGAAUGGCCCAGCAGGCUAGGAAUAAAAUUAGAAUCUAAUGGAAAUAGUAAUAAAAUAUUAAUGAUUUCUAAAUAUUACUUUAGAAAACAUUACUUGUCAAAAGUACAAGAUCACCACAACAAAUAUUAAGAAAUCAUAUUAAAAUGCUGUAUUUUGAUCAUUUGAUCAUUAUUCCUGUGAUCAUAGAGAGCUGUUAAGCAUGUUGCACUUUCUUGUGGCAGGGGCAACAAAGUGACCGCAGAUCUACUUGUUUUUGAGCCAAUGACACAACGAGAUCAAGUGGAUUCCCAAGCAGGUCCACCUAGCCUUGGUUGUAAGUUAAUGACUGAUCCUCUUCCAUCCCACCUCGAUGCUGGCUUAACAUUAGUCCCAGGUCUAACCUAUGUCAAGCUGAAACUUGAUCCGGGCAAUUCAGAGCCAAAACCAUGGAUCUCAGAUCUAUGCCGCAAUCCAGCAGAUAUCCAGCCAGCUCUUAUAAAUUGAUCCAUGUCCAUCUGGUGUCUGACAGUUAACUCAGAUCCGGCUGAUCCUGAGCCAUCAUGUAACUCAGUUACAUCUGUACCAAGCCUAACUAACAUGGAACCAGUAGGGUCUCAGUAGAAUUAUCUUGUAUUCUCACACAAAGAUCAUUACUUCUAGAUAAAAAAAUCAUUACAGUGAAACAGAAACCAAAUUAUAAAAAUAUAUUUUUUAUUAAACAAAUAAAACAUUUACAUUUCAUUAAAACAUACAUUAAAACAAUUAAAAGCAUUGGUUGUGUGUCCUUUUCGAGUCACCCUCGCCAUUGGUCAGUUUUUCACGGGCAAGUUCACUAGUUUACUGUAAAUGGAUUCACAGUAGUGAAGAAAUACAUGAAUGACCAUAUAUUUUCCCAUGAUUUCUGUCAUGUCUAUGUUUUAAUCUUCUUUCCAAGCUUUCUUUUUGGCCCUGACACUGAUAUCUUUCAGGUUCAAGUUCAGGAGAUGAUCAUAAGCAUGAGAACGAUCCUGCAUUUUUACAUUAUACCAGCAGGGAGCACCCAGAGUUUUGACCUACAAUGAAAGGAUACACAACCCUGACAGUUCAGAGGUUAUAUAGUCAAUCUUUCAGCUCUUUGUAGCAAACUGCUUUUGGUCCAUCAUGAGAACUAGGCUGAGGGAUGUGCUUUUUGUUGUAUUCUUUCUAGGUACGGCACUUUCUAGUUAUUUAUUUCUGUUGUUUGAGAAUGUGAUGUGAGAGGCAGUGUGAGUUAAGAAUGUUUUGUGCUCUCCACAGAAUGCAGAGGACAACACACUUUACGUCAGUCAUCAAGCUCUUCUUCAGCUUACACAGGAGAGACCGUGACACUGAAGUGUGAAUAUAAUACGACAGACACAAUACCUGCUCUGCUGUGGUACAGGCAAACAAAGAAUUUAUAUCCAGAAUAUAUCUUAGUAAGACAUAAUUUUGGAAAUGGAAGUAAUUCCAAAGACUUCCCCAACAAAAGAUUUCAGUCCCAGCUGGAUUCUGUUUCAAGAAGAAUUUCACUGACUAUCCAGAACCUUCAUCUGUCUGACUCUUCAUUGUACUUCUGUGCUUUGAGGCCCACUGUGAAAACAGGAUACUGAGUGUUUAAACAAAAACCUGAACUUCACAGCCCUCGUAAUAGUUAAUAGUUUGAUGCCAUUCUCAUUGUUUGUAUGUGAUAAAAGUAACACAGUUUAAUGCUGAUAAAUAAAGCAACAACAACAACAUGAAUUAAAAAAAUUAGUCAGUCGCUACUUACAUCUAAAACAUUUGUAUAUAAUUUCUAUAAAACAUAUUUAUAUACAUAUUAUGAAGCGCCAAAUAGGAAAGUAUUAUAUAAAAU
Carassius auratus (goldfish) is the source of this 3012-nucleotide long non-coding RNA. The record is from Ensembl. Lineage: Eukaryota; Metazoa; Chordata; Actinopteri; Cypriniformes; Cyprinidae.